Non-coding RNA from Glycine soja, 120 nucleotides. The record is from Rfam. Lineage: Eukaryota; Viridiplantae; Streptophyta; Magnoliopsida; Fabales; Fabaceae.
UUCUUAUUUAAUGAUGAUUGUCACGUGUCAUCUUCUGAUUGGAUGUCAACUCCAUGAAAAAUGAAAUGCAUUGUUGUUUUCAUUGACCAAUCAAAACAUGAUACAUGACAGUCAUCAUCC